GGGCGAUUAGCUCAACGGCUAGAGCACCACCCUUACAAGGUGGCUGUUGAAGGUUCGAAUCCUCCAUCGCCCACCA
Molecule: transfer RNA, 76 nt
Filed under: Planctomycetota bacterium
Lineage: Bacteria; Pseudomonadati; Planctomycetota
Description: tRNA-Val
Rfam family: tRNA
About the family: Transfer RNA (tRNA) molecules are approximately 80 nucleotides in length. Their secondary structure includes four short double-helical elements and three loops (D, anti-codon, and T loops). Further hydrogen bonds mediate the characteristic L-shaped molecular structure. tRNAs have two regions of fundamental functional importance: the anti-codon, which is responsible for specific mRNA codon recognition, and the 3' end, to which the tRNAs corresponding amino acid is attached (by aminoacyl-tRNA synthetases). tRNAs cope with the degeneracy of the genetic code in two manners: having more than one tRNA (with a specific anti-codon) for a particular amino acid; and 'wobble' base-pairing, i.e. permitting non-standard base-pairing at the 3rd anti-codon position.
Source: RNAcentral